AGAGAUUGGCUCGGGUAAACCUUAUCGAUCACCCGGUCAGGUCUGAAAGGAAGCAGCCGAAUUGUAAAGGUUUAGGUCGAUUGUCGAUCUCUCGU
This 95-nucleotide signal recognition particle RNA is filed under the name Paracoccaceae bacterium. Its description in RNAcentral is "Rhodobacteraceae bacterium signal recognition particle sRNA small type". It matches the Rfam family "Bacterial small signal recognition particle RNA". Rfam says of the family: The signal recognition particle (SRP) is a universally conserved ribonucleoprotein involved in the co-translational targeting of proteins to membranes. Archaeal SRP consists of a 7S RNA and homologues of the eukaryotic SRP19 and SRP54 proteins. The record is from RNAcentral. RNAcentral also lists the same sequence under 1 other name. Lineage: Bacteria; Pseudomonadati; Pseudomonadota; Alphaproteobacteria; Rhodobacterales; Paracoccaceae.